RNAcentral lists this transfer RNA (71 nucleotides) under Arthrobacter sp. RNAcentral describes it as "tRNA-Gly". It matches the Rfam family "tRNA". From Rfam's summary of the family: Transfer RNA (tRNA) molecules are approximately 80 nucleotides in length. Their secondary structure includes four short double-helical elements and three loops (D, anti-codon, and T loops). RNAcentral also lists the same sequence under 5 other names. The record is from RNAcentral. Lineage: Bacteria; Bacillati; Actinomycetota; Actinomycetes; Micrococcales; Micrococcaceae.
GGGGCUGUAGCUCAAUGGUAGAGCACCUGCUUCCCAAGCAGGUGACGCGGGUUCGAUUCCCGUCAGCCCCU